This 253-nucleotide ribosomal RNA is filed under the name uncultured bacterium. Its description in RNAcentral is "partial 16S ribosomal RNA". It matches the Rfam family "Bacterial small subunit ribosomal RNA", at positions 524 to 776 of the family's 1533-position model. The record is from RNAcentral.
GACGGAGGAUGCAAGCGUUAUCCGGAAUGAUUGGGCGUAAAGCGUCCGCAGGUGGCAGUUCAAGUCUGCUGUCAAAGACCGGGGCUUAACUUCGGAAAGGCAGUGGAAACUGAACAGCUAGAGUAUGGUAGGGGCAGAGGGAAUUCCUGGUGUAGCGGUGAAAUGCGCAGAUAUCGGGAAGAACACCCGUGGCGAAGGCGGUUCUCUGGGACGGUACUGACGCUGAGACGCGAAAGCGUGGGGAGCGAACAGG